GGAUUAGGCAUGCAAGUCGAACGGUAUCAUACCUUCGGGUAUGAGAGAGUGGCGAACGGGUGAGUAACACGUAGGUGAUCUACCCUCGAAUCGGGGACAACCCAGGGAAACUUGGGCUAAUACCGGAUGCGCGUAUCCUUAGGGAUGCGUAAAAGAUGGCAGUAAUGCUGUCGUUUGGGGAUGAGCCUGCGCCCUAUUAGUUAGUUGGUGAGGUAACGGCUUACCAAGGCGAUGAUAGGUAGGCGGCCUUAACGGGUGGUCGCCCACACUGGGAUUGAGAUACGGCCCAGACUCCUACGGGAGGCAGCAGUCGAGAAUAGUCUACAAUGGUCGAAAGACUGAUAGUGCGACGCCGCGUGAACGAAGAAGCCCUUCGGGGUGUAAAGUUCUUUUAUAUAUGAGCAGUGCCCCUUAUAUGAACAGUAUGGGGGGAGAGAUAUUAGUAUAUGAAUAAGCAACGGCUAACUCCGUGCCAGCAGCCGCGGUAACACGGGGGUUGCGAGCGUUGUCCGGAAUUACUAGGCGUAAAGGGCAGGUAGGCGGAUCUAUAAGUUUUUUGUUUAAGGCCACGGGCUCACCCGUUGUACGGCAGGAGAUACUGUAGAUCUGGAAUACGGUUGGGGGAAGACAGAAUUCCUGGUGUAACGGUGGGAUGCGCAAAGAUCAGGAGGAAUACCGAAGGCGAAAGCAGUCUUCUAAGCCGUGAAUGACGCUAAACUGCAAAGGGUGUGGGUAUCAAACAGGAUUAGAUACCCUGGUAGUCCACACAGUAAACGAUAAUCACUAGGUGUCGGGUUCGUAGAGGAUUCGGUGCCGUAGCUAACGCGAUAAGUGAUUCGCCUGGGGAGUACGAUCGCAAGGUUGAAACUCAAAGGAAUUGACGGGGGCCCGCACAAGCGGUGGAGCAUGUGGUUUAAUUCGAAGCAACGCGAAGAACCUUACCCGGUCUUGACAUCCAUAGGAUCCUUCAGAGAUGAGGGAGUGCCGGCUUGCCGGAACUAUGAGACAGGUGCUGCAUGGCUGUCGUCAGCUCGUGUCGUGAGAUGUUGGGUUAAGUCCCGCAACGAGCGCAACCCCUGCUUCCAGUUACCAUCAUUAAGUUGGGGACUCUGGAAGGACCGCUGCGGUAACAACGCAGAGGAAGAUGGGGACGACGUCAAGUCAUCAUGGUCCUUAUGGCCGGGGCUACACACGUGCUACAAUGGCAGUUACAGAGGGAAGCGAAGCAGCAAUGUGGAGCGAAUCUCAGAAAAGCUGCCUCAGUUCGGAUUGAGGUCUGCAACUCGACCUCAUGAAGUUGGAAUCGCUAGUAAUCGCGUAACAUCAUGACGCGGUGAAUACGUUCCCGGGCCUUGUAGACACCGCCCG
This 1368-nucleotide ribosomal RNA is filed under the name uncultured bacterium. Its description in RNAcentral is "bacterial SSU rRNA". It matches the Rfam family "Bacterial small subunit ribosomal RNA", at positions 46 to 1396 of the family's 1533-position model. The record is from RNAcentral.